UACGGAGGGUGCGAGCGUUGUCCGGAAUCACUGGGCGUAAAGGGCGCGUAGGCGGCCUGAUAAGUAGGGGGUGAAAUCCUGCGGCUUAACCGCAGGGCUGCCUUCUAAACUGUCAGGCUCGAGCACAGUAGAGGCAGGUGGAAUUCCCGGUGUAGCGGUGGAAUGCGUAGAGAUCGGGAAGAACAUCGGUGGCGAAGGCGGCCUGCUGGGCUGUUGUUGACGCUGAGGCGCGACAGCGUGGGGAGCAAACAGG
This 253-nucleotide ribosomal RNA is filed under the name uncultured bacterium. Its description in RNAcentral is "partial 16S ribosomal RNA". It matches the Rfam family "Bacterial small subunit ribosomal RNA", at positions 524 to 776 of the family's 1533-position model. The record is from RNAcentral.